AAAAAUAAAUAUUACAAUUUUUUUGGCUUCUGUCUUUUAAUAUUAUUUUUAUGCCGAAGGGUCAUUAAGUGUUAACCAUGUCCAUCCUCUAGACCCUUAUGUCACUAAAAAUUGGUUUCAGUUCUCUAAUUUAAGUUUACUGUACCAAAUGGUAUACAAACUUGUACACAAUGCUUAUAACCAUAAAACACAGAUCAAGUAAGAAAUUAUGUAGUGUCACUUUUACUGCUCUCUAGUUAUCCCCC
Molecule: long non-coding RNA, 245 nt
Filed under: Mytilus galloprovincialis (Mediterranean mussel)
Lineage: Eukaryota; Metazoa; Mollusca; Bivalvia; Mytilida; Mytilidae
Source: RNAcentral